RNAcentral lists this transfer RNA (73 nucleotides) under Schistocerca americana (American grasshopper). Its description in RNAcentral is "tRNA-Arg". It matches the Rfam family "tRNA". From Rfam's summary of the family: Transfer RNA (tRNA) molecules are approximately 80 nucleotides in length. Their secondary structure includes four short double-helical elements and three loops (D, anti-codon, and T loops). Further hydrogen bonds mediate the characteristic L-shaped molecular structure. tRNAs have two regions of fundamental functional importance: the anti-codon, which is responsible for specific mRNA codon recognition, and the 3' end, to which the tRNAs corresponding amino acid is attached (by aminoacyl-tRNA synthetases). tRNAs cope with the degeneracy of the genetic code in two manners: having more than one tRNA (with a specific anti-codon) for a particular amino acid; and 'wobble' base-pairing, i.e. permitting non-standard base-pairing at the 3rd anti-codon position. Lineage: Eukaryota; Metazoa; Arthropoda; Insecta; Orthoptera; Acrididae. The record is from RNAcentral.
GCCUCUGUGGCCUAAUGGAUAAGGCAUCGGUCUCCUAAACCGGGGAUUGUGGGUUCGGGUCCCACCAGAGGUA